CUCUCUGUGUCUCUCUCUCUCUCUCUCUCACACACACACAACUUAUAAGCAUCUCUUGUUUCUCCUAAAAUUACCCUUCUAGCAUUAGCUGUCCCAUUAAAAUUCUAAUAGGCUUUUUUGUGGACAUCUGCAAAUUAAUUAUAAAAUUUAUAUGGACAUGCAAAGGGCCAAGUAAGGGCCCUUAAAAGGGACAAAAAUGGGAGAAAUUACUAGAUACCAUGGCUCACCAUAAAAGCUGCCUUGAUUAAGACAGUGUGGCAGUGGUCAGCAAACAGUGGUCUGCCCCUGGGCCAACUCUGCCCACCAUCUGUUUCUGUAUGGCCCAUGAAGCAAGAAUGAUUUUUACAUUUUUAAAUGGUUGAAAAUAAUUGAUUGGUGGGGACAAUGCUGGUGGAGUCUGAAGUUGUCAUGCAGUGACUCACUCAAGGUUAGGCAGAUUUGGUGAUAUAUGACACAGAGAUGCAAAGAAAUGCUGUAGCUGACACACACAGGGUGGCUCUGGGAGAUGCAGAAGGAGCAUGUCACCCAAAAUAGAGCCAGAUAGACAUCUUUAAGGAAGGAGCAAAGGGGCUGCAUCUUAAAGAAUGAAGAAGGGAUUUGUCAUGAGAGAUGGGGCAGGAAGUUCUUGAGAGGCAGAGGGAGAGCAUGAGAAUGCUGGGAAGGGAGGAGAGAUUCUCACACAUCUGGGAAGCUGACAAUUCAUCAGCAUGUCCGGAAGGAAAAUAAGGAGGAGGAGCAGAAAUAGAUGAGGCUGGAUAUAGAAGCAGGGCUGAAGCUGUGUUGAUCGUGGUAAAGAGUUGUGAUUCUAUCCAGAAGGCAAUAGGUAGCAUUCUAAACAGAGAUCUCUUAAAACAAGAGUCAGCAAAUAUUUUCUGCAAAGGGCUAAAUGUUAAAUAUUUUAAGUUUUCCAAGCCAUAUGGUCUCUCUCUUAAUGACUCAGGUCUUCCAUUAUACCAUGAAAGUAACCAGAGACGUUAUAUAACACAUGUAUUGGCUGUGUCCCAUUACAACUUUACUUACAAACGCAGACUGUGUCAGACCUGGUCCAUGCAUGGUAGUUUGCCACACCCUGUUUUAGAAAGCUCAGGUUUAUGAUGUGAUGGAGAAUGCCUACAAGAGCUCUUGUUUUAAAUGGUAGAGUGAAGAUACACUGGAAUUCUAUCCUGCUUGACCCAAGCUCUUGAUAGCGAAAGGUAGAAAAGAUAGAUAGUAAAUAGAUAGAUAGAUGAUAGGCAGGUAGAUAGAUAGAUGAUAGAUAAAGAAAAUACAUAGCUGUUCCAGAAAACAGAAAUGGAUAAUUUCAUGAACCAAAAGCAGAGUAAUAUACUUUAGAAAGGAAGCAGGCUGGAAGACCCACAGUUGCAAAGCAAAUAGAAUUUCCAACUGCCUCUUGUAGCCCCUUCCUGGAAGUAGUCACAGCCCAGGGUGUUCAACUUCUUCCUCUGUUUUUUGUUUGUUUGUUGUUUGCUUUUCUGUGGGGUUUUUGUUGUUGUUGUUUGCUUUUUAAAAAAAAUCCCUUUCCCUGCUUUUUUGUCACAGCAGCCUUUGUCACUUCAAACACCGCAAGUGUUCUUUAAAAAAAAUUAUAUCAACCUUUCAACUAAAAUGCAACAUGUCUGAAACUUGGUAUCUGGAGAGGUGAGAGGGACAAAGGAGCCGUUGUUACUGCACGUUUUCAUUCUCCAAACUUCACCUUGCACACAGUAACAGACAAUGCACAAAGCUACUUCCUUAUGGACGGAAAUUCUGAAAUCCUUUUAUGCCUGGCCUUUCCAUCCUUCAACUUCCCCUCUCCCAUGCUGAACAGUAAGAGGACCUUGUGCAUGAAUAAUUUGUUUCCACACUGCAGAGUGGGUAAUAAGCAGAUUAGUAAAAACAAUUCUGCUUCACUUCAAUAACAGCCUCCUCCAACUCAUUUUUUCUCAACAAACUUAUUUUUGCAGCAGAAGAAUCCCAGACUUCUUAGAGAACCCAGUGACUUUUUGCACCUUAAAUCUGUGAAAUCCUCAUGCUUUCUUCUGCCGUAUCCAUCGUUCAAACAAACAUGAGGCAAAGCUAGACACAUUCCUGAAGGAACCCAAGAAAUUCCUCUCUUUCUCUCUCUGGAAUGAAAUGAAUUCUCUAGACCACCAGUUCUAACCUUCAAAAACGAAACCUGUUUGUGAGAUCUCCUUCAAAUACUACUGUAGACCCCAGUGUUUAUUCAUUAAAUUUUUUAAACAUUUGUUUUAUUUGGAAUCAAAGUAUUUGUAAUUUUAGUAUUUGUAUUAAUAUAAGGGAGAAAUGUUUAAAUCUGUCUAUGCCACAUGUGCCUUCGGCUUAUUGCCCAAUUAAUUGUAGCCUCAGGCUAAACUUUGGUUUCUGUCUUUAAUUUUUGUCGGAAGAAAUAUAACUGGUCUCAAAACAUCUGCUUUUAUUGUAGGGACUCGUGCUGCCAUCUCCAUUCCUCUCUCUUUUCUUGCAAUCUGGGUGGAAGUUCUUUAAUAUGAACAUUUCAACCACCUUCACUCUACCAUGUCCACUAUCAGCACAUUCAAACGUAUCCAGCCAAGGGUAUCAUCUUAGGCCAGGGAUUUUUUAGGAAUCUAUUUUGCUGUGAUGCACCUGGUACCCCUUUGACUCACUUUAUCACCCCAGGGUUCUUUUCAUUUUAGAAGCCCAAGAGGGCAGAAAAAGAAGUAGGUGAGCAAUUAAACUCUCCAAGUCAGGAGCGUCUCCCCUUGUGUUAAGCAAUGUUGUAGAACAUCGUAUUUAGCAAGCUCCUAGCAGAUGAGCCACGUGGCUGCUGAGCACACACGCCUGCUUGCUGCUGUGAGCUCAGACACCAUCAUUAUGUCUUUUUCACCUCUGGAGGGAAUUGUAAGCGCCACUUAAUAACCUGUAAAUCGUAGAGAGUUAAAGGUGUUUCCCUAAAACACUGAUGACAGAAUGAAAGGUAAGGAGUGUUAGCCACAGGUCAAAAGUGCAGGAAAGUCUCUCUAUGUGGGUUGUUGAAGAAAUGCAGGUCUUUUUUCUUUUGGAAGUCUCCCUAGAAUGGGGUCAAGGACUCUGCCCAUUCUAGGAUGAAAAACUGGGAUAUUAGACACCCUCAGAUAUUUAUCCCAAGCUUUCAUUUUGGGCUCUUAAUUAGUUCAUCCAUCACAAUCGCAAAUGCUAAGCAGGGCAGUUGAAUCUGUCUACAGUCCAAAUCAGCACCUUCUUUUAAAGUUGAGUUUCUUAUUAUUCUCACCUGAUAUACCUUAUUUAUCCCACACCCACCCCAAUAACAUAUCGUGCUCACUGUUAUCUUUAAGAAAACACUUGAAUUUAACUCAGCCUGGAGCUCUCUUCACAUGUCUUGUCCAGAUCCAGUUCGGACUCAUUCUUCAGCCGUGCAUCAGUCAAUGGGGGCUAGGUUAAACUGUGGUGACAAACAACCUCCAAAUUUCAGUGGCUCAAAAAUCUUCUUCCUCAUUUAUUUACAUUUCAUCAUGGGUCAGGUGAGAGGUAGCUCUGUGCUGUGUCAUCCUAACACAGGAAUCCAGACGGAAGGAGGGACGAUCAAUAAGAUCCCCAUUGCUAUAGAAAAGAGAAAAAAGUAUGUGGAAUAGCACUCUGUUUCUUGGAGAUUUCUCCUGAAAAAGUCACAUGUUAUUUCUUCUCACCUCCAUUGGCAAAAAAAAAAAGUCAUGUGGCCAUGUGAAAAUGUAAGUAGGCGGGAUGGAACAGUCAGAAUGCAUUCAUAAAAUAUGAACUGAAAAUAUCUGGAGAACAGCACCUAUGACUACAACGAAUGCCAACAUGCAUCCCUAACAACCCAGUGCUGUCACCCUCCAAACUUUUUAUGUCUUGCAAAGUAUUAGAACUUCUUAUCUGAAGCCAUACCACUCAGAGGGAAUGCAAAAUACAUAUUGACAUCUCCUUUAGGAUGUCCUUAGAGAAUUCAUGGAAAAGAAGUUAAAUAAUUUAAAAGUGCUUUUGGGUACAGCUAUUUAGCACUAGAGGGUAAGAGUAGAGAUAGAUUGUAAAGAUAAUAAUAGGGUUAGGCAUAGGAUUAGGAUCUGGGUCAGAGUCAGGGCCGGAAGUAUGGUUAGAGGUGGGGUCAUGGUCAGGGUCGAGAUCAAAGUCAGGGUCAAAGUAAGGGUCAGAAUUAGGGACCAGGAUAGGGAUCAGGAUUUAGGUUCAGUGUCAAAGUCUUGGGACAGGGUUAGGGUUAGGAUUAGAACCAGAGCUUUGUUCUCCUCAGGACCCACCCGAGGGUGGGUCACCAUGGCUUUGGAGCGCCUGGUAGUGUGGCGUGUCCACAGUGAAGACCAGAGUUUCAUUGUCCUUAAGACUGACCUGGGGAGAUGUGGCUGUAGGCCAUUGAGGAAGGUGAGGCAACAGCUUCCUGUCUGCUCCCCGUGUGCUGAGGAGGGAGUUCUGCCGUGGGCUUUACUUUCACAUGUUAUAUUCCACAAGUCUUGUUUUACAAAAGCAUCCCUUCCUUGAGGCUUCGGCUGCUCAUCGCUGCUCAUCAUCAUAGCGUGCCAUAACAUAUAGUAAGAUUUGGGUUUGUUUCUGGGGAGAUAUCUUGGUAUAGAGAAAGGAGAAAUGCUUAGAGCCACCAUCAGGACAGUUGGGAUGAAAGUUGGGUAUAGGCAGAGGCUGGAGGAAACAUGUGCAUCCCCUGUAAACACUUUUAUUCAUGUUUUAAUUACUCAUUUUUCUUACAGUGUUAAAUUAGUAAAGAUAGUAUUGAAAAAUUGAAAAGUAGGCAUAUUAAAACUUGCAACACUA
This 4758-nucleotide long non-coding RNA is filed under the name Homo sapiens (human). RNAcentral describes it as "HSALNT0387910". The record is from RNAcentral. Lineage: Eukaryota; Metazoa; Chordata; Mammalia; Primates; Hominidae.